This 493-nucleotide ribosomal RNA is filed under the name uncultured Pedobacter sp. RNAcentral's name for it is "bacterial SSU rRNA". It matches the Rfam family "Bacterial small subunit ribosomal RNA", at positions 16 to 507 of the family's 1533-position model. The record is from RNAcentral. Lineage: Bacteria; Pseudomonadati; Bacteroidota; Sphingobacteriia; Sphingobacteriales; Sphingobacteriaceae.
UACCUGGCUCAGGAUGAACGCUAGCGGCAGGCCUAAUACAUGCAAGUCGAGGGGUAUAGAGGAGCUUGCUCUUCUAGAGACCGGCGCACGGGUGCGUAACGCGUAUGCAACCUACCUUUAUCUGGGGGAUAGCCCGGAGAAAUCCGGAUUAAUACCGCAUAAAAUCACAGUACUGCAUAGUACAAUGAUCAAACAUUUAUGGGAUGAAGAUGGGCAUGCGUGUCAUUAGCUAGUUGCGGGGUAACGGCCCACCAAGGCGACGAUGACUAGGGGAUCUGAGAGGAUGGCCCCCCACACUGGUACUGAGACACGGACCAGACUCCUACGGGAGGCAGCAGUAAGGAAUAUUGGUCAAUGGAGGCAACUCUGAACCAGCCAUGCCGCGUGCAGGAAGACUGCCCUAUGGGUUGUAAACUGCUUUUACUCGGGAAUAAACCUAGAUACGUGUAUUUAGCUGAAUGUACCGAGGGAAUAAGGAUCGGCUAACUCCGUG